CCCUUAGAUGUUCUGGGCCGCACGCGCGCUACACUGACGAAUUCAACGAGCUUAUAACCUUGGCCGAAAGGUCUAGGUAAUCUCCAAAAUUCGUCGUGAUGGGGAUAGAUUAUUGCAAUUAUUAAUCUUCAACGAGGAAUGCCUAGUAAGCGCAAGUCAUCAGCUUGCGUUGAUUACGUCCCUGCCCUUUGUACACACCGCCCGUCGCUCCUACCGAUUGAGUGGUCCGGUGAGGCUUUGGGAUCUGAGCGGAAAGAGCGUUUCGCUGUUUCUGCCCGGAAAACUCAGUCGAACCUUAUCAUUUAGAGGAAGGAGAAGUCGUAACA
This 326-nucleotide ribosomal RNA is filed under the name uncultured eukaryote. RNAcentral describes it as "partial 18S ribosomal RNA". It matches the Rfam family "Eukaryotic small subunit ribosomal RNA", at positions 1470 to 1796 of the family's 1831-position model. The record is from RNAcentral.